GCGGGAGUGGCGGAAUGGCAGACGCAGCAGGUUUAGGUCCUGCCGCCCUAGGGCGUGGGGGUUCAAGUCCCCCCUCCCGCACCA
Molecule: transfer RNA, 84 nt
Filed under: Frankia abietis
Lineage: Bacteria; Bacillati; Actinomycetota; Actinomycetes; Frankiales; Frankiaceae
Also listed under: 1 other name
Description: Frankia sp. AiPa1 tRNA-Leu
Rfam family: tRNA
About the family: Transfer RNA (tRNA) molecules are approximately 80 nucleotides in length. Their secondary structure includes four short double-helical elements and three loops (D, anti-codon, and T loops).
Source: RNAcentral